Molecule: ribosomal RNA, 275 nt
Filed under: uncultured prokaryote
Description: partial 16S ribosomal RNA
Rfam family: Bacterial small subunit ribosomal RNA
Source: RNAcentral
CACGUAGGAGGCAAACGUUAUCCGGAUUUACUGGGCGUAAAGCGCGUGUAGGUGGUUCUGUAAGUAGGGCGUGAAAGCUCCCGGCUCAACUGGGAGAGGCCGUUCUAAACUGCAGAGCUAGAGGAUGGUAGAGGGAGGUGGAAUUCCUAGUGUAGCGGUGGAAUGCUCAGAUAUUAGGAAGAACACCAGUGGCGAAGGCGGCUUCCUGGCCUGUACCUGACGCUGAGAGGCGAAAGCUAGGGUAGCAAACGGGCUUAGAUACCCGCGUAGUCCCU